Molecule: long non-coding RNA, 438 nt
Organism: Oncorhynchus tshawytscha (Chinook salmon)
Lineage: Eukaryota; Metazoa; Chordata; Actinopteri; Salmoniformes; Salmonidae
Source: Ensembl
CACAGAGCCAGGGGAGAGAAGAAGAGAAGGCAAAGGGGAAAUAAAAAGGGGAGAGAAGAAGAGAAGCCAAAGGGAAGAGAAGAAGAAAAGCCAAAGGGAAGAGAAGAAGAAAAGCCAAAGGGGAGAGAAGAAGAAAAGCCAAACGGGAGAGAAGAAGAAAAGCCAAAGGGGAGAGAAGAAGAAUAACCAAAGGGGAGAGAAGAAGAAUAACCAAAGGGGAGAGAAGAAGAGAAGCCAAAGGGGAGAGAAGAAGAAUAACCAAAGGGGAGAGGAGAAGCCAAAGGUUAGAGAAGCUACAGUGUCGUUGAUAGAGAACCUCACAGAAUCAUUACUCCGAGAAGUCACUCUGCUCACAGAGGAAAGGGAGAAGAGGCCCGAUUACCCACAAAGCCAGGAGAAAUGGGAGGAGCUGGAGACCCAUGUGGACCCAGUGAGGAG